AGCUAAUCUCAUUGGAAUCGAUACGAUUCACCAUCAGACACUCUCUGGACAGGAGAUGGAUCAAAUGAAUGAGCAUCAACUUGACAAAGUGGCCAACAAUGUCAGUGUUUUCUAUCGAGUUACGCCACGCCACAAACUUGACAUUGUAAAAUCCCUACAACGCACCGGAAAUAUUGUGGGCAUGACAGGUGAUGGCGUAAACGAUGGAGUAGCGUUAAAAAAAGCAGACAUAGGAAUAGCAAUGGGUAAAAAUGGUACUGACGUUUGCAAAGAAGCAGCAGAUAUGAUUUUGGUCAACGACGAUUUUCACACAAUCAUUGCGGCUAUAGAGGAGGGCAAGGCUAUAUUCUACAAUAUACGCAAUUUUGUGCGCUUUCAACUUAGUACUUCAAUUGCGGCACUCUCUCUAAUUGCACUUGCCACACUUAUGGGCAUUGCAAAUCCUUUAAAUGCUAUGCAAAUUCUAUGGAUUAAUAUUAUAAUGGACGGACCGCCAGCACAGUCGCUUGGUGUUGAACCUGUGGAUCAUGAUGUAUUGAAACAAAAACCGCGCAACGUUAAACAGCCAAUGAUAACGAAAUCGGUUAUAGUUAAUGUUUUGCUCAGUGCUAGCAUUAUAAUACUUGGCACACUAUGGGUGUUCCAACGAGAAAUGGCUGAUGGCACACUUGGCAAAACCAAACGUGAUACUACCAUGACAUUCACCUGCUUCGUUUUCUUUGAUAUGUUUAAUGCUCUGUCAUGCCGUUCCCAGACAAAGAGCGUUUUUAAAAUUGGUCUCACCUCGAAUAAAAUGUUCCUCAUGGCGGUUGGGUUUUCAAUUAUUGGACAAAUGCUUGUGAUUUAUUUUCCACCUCUUCAAAUGGUAUUCCAGACGGAAGCACUCUCUGUAUACGAUAUACUCUUCUUGCUCUCGCUAACUUCCUCGGUACUCAUUGUUGCAGAAAUUAAGAAAUGGUUUGAACGCACCAUGGAGCGUAAAUUAUACAAAACAAGAUCUGAGUUGGAUUUCGUAUGACAAAUCGCAAGCGCUGGAAGAAAGUUGAAUAAAAAAUCCGAUUAAGCUUAUUAAAAUAGCAACUAUUAAGGAGCUGAAGCGAGAGCAGACAGUACAGAAAAAAGAGUGAGAAACGUAUUAUUGAGAGUUAUUUUUACUUUUUUUUAAAUACGCAUUAAAAUCGUUAAGUUAGCUAGAGAAAAUGAUAUUAUAUAAGUAACGAGCUGGGAAGGAACGAUUGUGAACGAGCAGGGGGAAAAUAAGAAUUAUAUUUUAUAUGUCUUCACCCUUUUUGAGAAUAAAUCUCACUUGAAAUUAACGUGACCUAAUUUAGUAAAUUAGUGGUUUAUGGCAAUAUUGGCAAGGAGUAGAAUGCAGUGUAAAAAAAGAAAAAUGCGAUAAAUAUAUAUAAAAACAAAUUAAUAACUAAAAAAGUAAGAAACAAAUAAAAAAGACGUUUUGUAAAACAGAAAUUAGAUGCAAUGCCGAAGCGAACAGUAUCCUGAAUAAUCAAAAUUUUUGGAAAAAUCAACAGAAAAUUCUUCUAGCGCAAAUUUGGACUUUGAUAUAUUUUGUAUUAUUUUGUCAGAAAUACCAAAAAUAAAGUGCAUG
Teleopsis dalmanni is the source of this 1609-nucleotide RNA transcript. It is a transcript of the gene named calcium-transporting ATPase type 2C member 1-like, with no coding region annotated. NCBI's taxonomy places the organism in Eukaryota, Metazoa, Arthropoda, Insecta, Diptera, Diopsidae. The transcript is spliced from 3 exons. The record is from RefSeq and is a predicted model, not a curated record.